Molecule: ribosomal RNA, 253 nt
Filed under: uncultured bacterium
Lineage: Bacteria
Description: partial 16S ribosomal RNA
Rfam family: Bacterial small subunit ribosomal RNA
Source: RNAcentral
UACAGAGGUCCCAAGCGUUGUUCGGAUUCAUUGGGCGUAAAGGGUGCGUAGGCGGCGCGGUAAGUCGGGUGUGAAAUCUCGGGGCUUAACUCCGAAACUGCAUUUGAUACUGCGGUGCUUGAGGACUGGAGAGGAGACUGGAAUUUACGGUGUAGCGGUGAAAUGCGUAGAUAUCGUAAGGAAGACCAGUGGCGAAGGCGGGUCUCUGGACAGUUCCUGACGCUGAGGCACGAAGGCCAGGGGAGCAAACGGG